Molecule: transfer RNA, 65 nt
Filed under: Dipodomys ordii (Ord's kangaroo rat)
Lineage: Eukaryota; Metazoa; Chordata; Mammalia; Rodentia; Heteromyidae
Rfam family: tRNA
About the family: Transfer RNA (tRNA) molecules are approximately 80 nucleotides in length.
Source: Rfam by way of RNAcentral
GGUGGCUUAGUGGUAGAGUGCUUGCCUAGCAUGCAUGAAGCCCUGGGUUCAAUUCCCCAGUACCA